CAGCAGCCGCGGGAACACGGAGGGUGCAAGCGUUAUCCGGAUUUAUUGGGUUUAAAGGGUACGUAGGCGGAUCUGUAAGUCAGUGGUGAAAUCUCACAGCUUAACUGUGAAACUGCCAUUGAUACUGCAGGUCUUGAGUAAAUUUGAAGUGGCUGGAAUAAGUAGUGUAGCGGUGAAAUGCAUAGAUAUUACUUAGAACACCAAUUGCGAAGGCAGGUCACUAAGAUUUAACUGACGCUGAUGGACGAAAGCGUGGGGAGCGAACAGGAUUAGAUACCCCCGUAGUCCCUGUCUCUUAUAC
Molecule: ribosomal RNA, 301 nt
Filed under: uncultured bacterium
Lineage: Bacteria
Description: partial 16S ribosomal RNA
Rfam family: Bacterial small subunit ribosomal RNA
Source: RNAcentral